CCCCUAGAUGUUCUGGGCCGCACGCGCGCUACACUGAACAGUUCAACAAGUCUUAACCUUGGCCGAUAGGUCUGGGUAAUCUUUGAACGCUGUUCGUGAUUGGGAUAGACCUUUGCAAUUAUGGGUCUUCAACGAGGAAUUCCUAGUAAACGCAAGUCAUCAGCUUGCAUUGAUUACGUCCCUGCCCUUUGUACACACCGCCCGUCGCAUCUACCGAUUGAAUGGUCCGGUGAAAUCUCGGGACGGCGGCUUGGUCGCUUGCGUCCGACUGCUGAAACUUGAUUAAACCAUAUCAUUUAGAGGAAGGUGAANUCGUANCA
Molecule: ribosomal RNA, 320 nt
Filed under: uncultured eukaryote
Lineage: Eukaryota
Description: partial 18S ribosomal RNA
Rfam family: Eukaryotic small subunit ribosomal RNA
Source: RNAcentral